This 520-nucleotide ribosomal RNA is filed under the name uncultured Glomus. RNAcentral describes it as "SSU rRNA". It matches the Rfam family "Eukaryotic small subunit ribosomal RNA", at positions 569 to 1092 of the family's 1831-position model. Lineage: Eukaryota; Fungi; Glomeromycota; Glomeromycetes; Glomerales; Glomeraceae. The record is from RNAcentral.
AGCAGCCGCGGUAAUUCCAGCUCCAAUAGCGUAUAUUAAAGUUGUUGCAGUUAAAAAGCUCGUAGUUGAAUUUCGGGAUCAAUUAAUUGGUCGUGCCUCUGGUACGUACUGAUUUUAUUGGUUUCUCCCUUCUGACGAACCAUGAUGUCAUUAAUUUGGUGUCGUGGAGAAUCAGGACUGUUACUUUGAAAAAUUAGAGUGUUUAAAGCAAGCUAACGCUUGAAUACAUUAGCAUGGAAUAAUGAAAUAGGACGUUUGAUCCUAUUUUGUUGGUUUCUAGGAUCGACGUAAUGAUUAAUAGGGAUAGUUGGGGGCAUUAGUAUUCAAUUGUCAGAGGUGAAAUUCUUGGAUUUAUUGAAGACUAACUACUGCGAAAGCAUUUGCCAAGGAUGUUUUCAUUAAUCAAGAACGAAAGUUAGGGGAUCGAAGACGAUCAGAUACCGUCGUAGCCUUAACCAUAAACUAUGCCGACUAGGGAUCGGAUGAUGUUAAUUUUUAAUGACUCAUUCGGCGCCUUAAC